AGAACGAACGCUGGCGGCAUGCCUAAUACAUGCAAGUCGAACGAACACUUCGGUGUUAGUGGCGCACGGGUGCGUAACGCGUGGGAAUCUGCCCUUGGGUUCGGAAUAACAGUUGGAAACGACUGCUAAUACCGGAUGAUAUCGAAAGAUCAAAGAUUUAUCGCCCAGGGAUGAGCCCGCGUAGGAUUAGCUAGUUGGUGAGGUAAAGGCUCACCAAGGCGACGAUCCUUAGCUGGUCUGAGAGGAUGAUCAGCCACACUGGGACUGAGACACGGCCCAGACUCCUACGGGAGGCAGCAGUGGGGAAUUUGGACAAUGGGGGAAACCCUGGAUCCAGCCAUCCCGCGUGUGCGAUGAA
Molecule: ribosomal RNA, 358 nt
Filed under: uncultured soil bacterium
Lineage: Bacteria
Description: bacterial SSU rRNA
Rfam family: Bacterial small subunit ribosomal RNA
Source: RNAcentral